CUGCAGGUUACUCAUAACAGUUUCUCCUCAGCAUAUAAAACAAAAGGUUCAAGUUUAAAGUUAAUAUAGCAGUUAAAAGAUCUAAAUUUUAAAGUGAUAGAUUUCUUGUUCAUAAGGAAAGUGGAAGAAAAACUGUAGAUUCUACUUGGCCUCACUUCAAGCACAGCAUUAUGGACUAAAGUCCAGAAUGUCACCUCAAGUGUUAAAAACUGGAGAGACUUCGUCUCUGCUUUUUAAGUUGAAAGUAUCAUAAUUCAUAGGUGUUCAAUGAUUCUCCAAAGUUUUAUCAUUGCAAAUAAAAUAUGAAGUUGUUGAAAAGAACAUGGAUUCUUUUCAUGAAAAGAACCAACUCAUCAUGCAUGCUACUCAUCUGUGUUCGAUAAACCCUGAAGUCCUAUGUUAAGAAAAGUGCCUUGAGAUAGAAGCAGCCUGGAAUGCUUGAUGCCCCCAUGGAGAACCCCUGCAGAGACAUCUGGCAGUAGAAG
This 485-nucleotide long non-coding RNA is filed under the name Sus scrofa (pig). RNAcentral's name for it is "lncRNA (ENSSSCG00070008729.1)". The record is from RNAcentral. Lineage: Eukaryota; Metazoa; Chordata; Mammalia; Artiodactyla; Suidae.